This 495-nucleotide ribosomal RNA is filed under the name uncultured bacterium. Its description in RNAcentral is "partial 16S ribosomal RNA". It matches the Rfam family "Bacterial small subunit ribosomal RNA", at positions 28 to 507 of the family's 1533-position model. The record is from RNAcentral.
GAUGAACGCUGGCGGCGUGCUUAACACAUGCAAGUCGAACGAAGCACCUCUCCCGAAGAUUGACCCAGCUUGCUGUAGAUUGAUUCAUUUGAGGUGACUGAGUGGCGGACGGGUGAGUAACGCGUGGGUAACCUGCCUCAUAGAGGGGGACAACAGUUGGAAACGACUGCUAAUACCGCAUAGUAAGAAGAAUUCGCAUGUUUUCUUCUUGAAAGAUUUAUCGCUAUGAGAUGGACCCGCGUCUGAUUAGCUAGUUGGUAAGGUAACGGCUUACCAAGGCGACGAUCAGUAGCCGGCUUGAGAGAGUGAACGGCCACAUUGGGACUGAGACACGGCCCAAACUCCUACGGGAGGCAGCAGUGGGGAAUAUUGCACAAUGGGGGAAACCCUGAUGCAGCGACGCCGCGUGAGUGAAGAAGUAUUUCGGUAUGCAAAGCUCUAUCAGCAGGGAAGAUAAUGACGGUACCUGACUAAGAAGCCCCGGCUAACUACGUG